GAUGAACGCUGGCGGCGUGCCUAAUACAUGCAAGUCGAGCGAACAGACGAGGAGCUUGCUCCUCUGACGUUAGCGGCGGACGGGUGAGUAACACGUGGAUAACCUACCUAUAAGACUGGGAUAACUUCGGGAAACCGGAGCUAAUACCGGAUAAUAUAUUGAACCGCAUAGUUCAAUAGUGAAAGACGGUUUUGCUGUCACUUAUAGAUGGAUCCGCGCCGCAUUAGCUAGUUGGUAAGGUAACGGCUUACCAAGGCAACGAUGCGUAGCCGACCUGAGAGGGUGAUCGGCCACACUGGAACUGAGACACGGUCCAGACUCCUACGGGAGGCAGCAGUAGGGAAUCUUCCGCAAUGGGCGAAAGCCUGACGGAGCAACGCCGCGUGAGUGAUGAAGGUCUUCGGAUCGUAAAACUCUGUUAUUAGGGAAGAACAAAUGUGUAAGUAACUAUGCACGCCUUGACGGUACCUAAUCAGAAAGCCACGGCUAACUACGUG
RNAcentral lists this ribosomal RNA (497 nucleotides) under uncultured bacterium. RNAcentral's name for it is "partial 16S ribosomal RNA". It matches the Rfam family "Bacterial small subunit ribosomal RNA", at positions 28 to 507 of the family's 1533-position model. The record is from RNAcentral.